This 45-nucleotide non-coding RNA is filed under the name Schistosoma curassoni. The record is from RNAcentral. Lineage: Eukaryota; Metazoa; Platyhelminthes; Trematoda; Strigeidida; Schistosomatidae.
AUCCAGCUGACGAGUCCCGAAUAGGACGAAACGCGCCUCAUGGAU